Long non-coding RNA from Mytilus trossulus (common blue mussel), 607 nucleotides. RefSeq lists it as uncharacterized. NCBI's taxonomy places the organism in Eukaryota, Metazoa, Mollusca, Bivalvia, Mytilida, Mytilidae. The record is from RefSeq and is a predicted model, not a curated record. The transcript has 3 exons.
AACCCGGAAUUCUCACCGUCACCAUUUUGUAUACUAUGACGCAAUACCAUGGACGCUCACGAGCUGCGGAUGGAGGUUUCAAUUUUUUAAAACUAACUACAAGAAUGGACAGAGUCAGAGAUACAUGGUAUACACAACUCUGGUUGUUCAAACUGAUGGUCAAACCGAUAAACAAAUAAAUGGAAAUAGAUAACUUGUAGAUUCACUGGAAGAAACCAGGGAACGAUUGAAAUGAAAGUCAACGCAACGAAAGUGUUUUUGUUUUGAUUGGUGACUUGCCACUUGGAAAGCUCAAAGAAAGCUGGUUGAAUUGGUCAACAGUGGCAGAUCAAGAAAUGUUAAUAAAAGUGGGGUUUUGCACUGACUGCCAAACUGGGGCCUUCUCCAGUCAUGUGUGAUGAUGCUUCAAUAAUUCCUUUAAAGCAUUUUUAAUGAAAGUACAUGCACAAAAAGAAGUAGUGGAAAAUAAUCAACAAAACAGAAGUCAUUAGAGGCGAUGCUUUCUAUAUUUAUACAUGUAUCUAGACUAGAAGUGGAUUUGAAAAGUGCUGUAUUGAUUCAUGUGCAAAUAAGGAGCAACAGCCAAUGAAACAUUGCAAAUGUGUGA